GCAAGGUGGGAAUCCUUGCGGCCGAAUAUCCAAGGUUUCCAGAGUAAAGCUGAUCUGCUCUGGGUAAGUCGGGGCCUAAGGAGAGGCAGAGAUGCGUAUCCGAUGGACAGCAGGUUUAAGAUCCCUGCACCCCUUGUUAUCAGAACUGCGGGGACACGGGAAGGGAAGCAGAGCCGGGAAUGGAAAGCCCGGUGCAAGCGAAGUAGUCGCAGGGUUGGAAAAUCCGCCCUGCAUGAGACGAAGGCGUGAUGCGGAGCGAAAUGAAGUAGUGAAGCUGCAGCCCCUUCCUGUCGAGAAAAGCCGCUAUCGUGUAGCAAGGGCCCGUACCGUAAACCGACACAGGUGGAUGAGGAGAGGAUCCUAAGGCCGGCGGGAGAAGUGUUGUUAAGGAACUCGGCAAAAUGACUCCGUAACUUCGGGAGAAGGAGUGCUGCGCAAGCAGCCGCAGAGAAAUGGCCCAAGCAACUGUUUAGCAAAAACACAGGUCUAUGCGAAACCGAAAGGUGAGGUAUAUGGGCUGACGCCUGCCCGGUGCUGGAAGGUUAAGGGGAGAGCUUAGCGCGAGCGAAGGUUGAACUUAAGCCCCAGUAAACGGCGGCCGUAACGAUAACGGUCCUAAGGUAGCGAAAUUCCUUGUCGGGUAAGUUCCGACCCGCACGAAAGGCGUAAUGAUUUGGGCACUGUCUCAACAACACACCCGGUGAAAUUGAAAUACCAGUGAAGAUGCUGGUUACCCGCGCCAGGACGGAAAGACCCCAUGGAGCUUUACUCCAGCCUGAUACUGGGAUUCGGUAUUGCAUGUACAGGAUAGGUGGGAGGCUAAGAACUCAUGGCGCCAGCCGUGAGGGAGCCGGUGUUGGGAUACCACCCCUGCAGUACUGGGUUUCUAACCUGCGCCCGUGACCCGGGCGGGGGACAAUGUCAGGCGGGGAGUUUGACUGGGGCGGUCGCCUCCGAAAGGGUAUCGGAGGCGCUCAAAGGUCUCCUCAGGAUGGUUGGAAACCAUCCAGAGAGUGCAAAGGCAGAAGGAGGCUUGACUGCGACACCGACGGGUGGAGCAGGUACGAAAGUAGGACUUAGUGAUCCGGUGGCAUAAAGUGGGAUUGCCAUCGCUCAACGGAUAAAAGCUACCCUGGGAUAACAGGCUUAUCACUCCCAAGAGUUCACAUCGACGGAGUGGUUUGGCACCUCGAUGUCGGCUCAUCGCAUCCUGGAGCUGGAGCAGGUUCCAAGGGUUGGGCUGUUCGCCCAUUAAAGCGGUACGCGAGCUGGGUUCAGAACGUCGUGAGACAGUUCGGUCCCUAUCCGGCGCGGGCGCAGGAUAUCUGAGAGGAGCUGUCCUUAGUACGAGAGGACCGGGAUGGGCCGUCCGCUGGUGGACCGGUUGUCAUGCCAAUGGCACGGCCGGGUAGCCAAGACGGGAAGGGAUAAACGCUGAAGGCAUCUAAGCGUGAAGCCCCCCUCAAGAUGAGAUAUCCAUACUCGAAAGAGUGAGAGACCCCUUAGAGACGAUGAGGUAGAUAGGGCAGAGAUGGAAGUGCAGCGAUGCAUGGAGUUGACUGUUACUAAUCGGUCGAAAGCUUG
RNAcentral lists this ribosomal RNA (1584 nucleotides) under metagenome. RNAcentral's name for it is "bacterial LSU rRNA". It matches the Rfam family "Bacterial large subunit ribosomal RNA", at positions 1316 to 2925 of the family's 2925-position model. The record is from RNAcentral.